Long non-coding RNA from Mastomys coucha (southern multimammate mouse), 1302 nucleotides. RefSeq lists it as uncharacterized. The record is from RefSeq and is a predicted model, not a curated record. Lineage: Eukaryota; Metazoa; Chordata; Mammalia; Rodentia; Muridae. The transcript has 3 exons.
GUCAUCAGGUGUGGGGGAACUGGAGGUGUGAUGGGGACCUCGAAACCUAUGCUCAAGUGACUUGUCAUAUGGGUAAUUGGCCACCACAGCCCCGCCGUGCAUAUUGGCUGAGAGAACGAAGUUUAAGGAGCGAAUCCACUGGAUCACCGCCCGGGUCUCCGGUUCCACCUGUGAAGAGACAAGAAGUUGGCAGCCAAAGUGUGGCUGAGUUACCACAUGGCCCCUUGGAGAAUGCUGUCAGGAAGGGACCUGUGGGGCCAGGGUGUCCCAGUAAAACAGCCUCCCAGACAUGAGACCUGGAGCAACUAUGACCUCUGUGGUGAAGAUUUCAAAAUUAAGUAUAUGGAACCCCUUUCCAAAGUGAAAUAUGUGGAUUACAAUAUACAGAACAGAUGCGCUGAGUCACUUCUCCACCAUACAUCAGUAUAGAACAGAUGUGCUGACGGCACCAUCCGAGUGACUUCCAGCACUGCCCACACCCGUGGAAGCUGUAAUGCCAAGAGCUCUCACUAGUGGAACUGUGGACUUUAGAGUUUGGGGUCAGGUCAAGUUCUACUCCUGGUUAUUUGCCCAAGAGAAAUGAGACCUGCGUGAAAGUGAACAGCAGCCCUCCCAGAGGAAACACAGUUCAACCGUCCACACGAAAGGAUGUUGUUGGACAACAGAAAGGAACAAAGUGCUGUGGCACCUGGUGAUCCCGCUAGUCCCUGCUCAACUGCCAGAAGAGCUGAGCUUUGUGAGAUCCUAUCACCACAAACAAGCAAACAAACCAAAUACACGCAAAGCCACAGGAAUCAUCAGCUCUAGAGGGAGCUGUUCGGAAAUCCUCAGCUAUAAAGGUAAAAGAGUACCUCAGGUACACACAAGGCAGCACUUACCUUCUUCACCACUAGGAAGCACCAUUGCCGGGACAUUCACAGACAUCUGCAUUAUGGUGCAACCUUCACUUACCACAUCCACUUGGAACAUUUUAUCCUCCUCAGUGAAACUUGGUACCCAGUAAGGACCUGCUCCCGGCUCCCGGCUCCCGCUUCCCACCUGGUAGCCACUAGCCUAGUCUAUCUACUGCCUUAAGUACCUCACGUACUUAAGUGUAAUCAUGUUUGUCCUUUUGCAGCUGACUUGUUCUUUGAUGUCCUCAAGGUUCUUCUGUGCUGUAGUAUAUAUCAGAAUCUACUCCCUUUUAAAGACAGAAAGUAAUCAACCACAUGUAUGUGGUACAGUGUAUCUAUCUGUGUUUCUGCUGAUGAACAUUUCUGCUGCUUCCACCUUUUGCUAUUGGGAAUAAAGCUGCUGUGAGCA